UACGUAGGUGGCAAGCGUUGUCCGGAUUUACUGGGCGUAAAGAGCGCGCAGGCGGUUGGCUAAGUCGAAUGUGAAAGCCCCCGGCUCAACUGGGGAGGGUCAUUCGAUACUGAUCGACUCGAAGGCAGGAGAGGGUAGUGGAAUUCCCGGUGUAGUGGUGAAAUGCGUAGAUAUCGGGAGGAACACCAGUGGCGAAGGCGACUACCUGGCCUGUUCUUGACGCUGAGGCGCGAAAGCUAGGGGAGCAAACGGG
This 253-nucleotide ribosomal RNA is filed under the name uncultured bacterium. RNAcentral's name for it is "partial 16S ribosomal RNA". It matches the Rfam family "Bacterial small subunit ribosomal RNA", at positions 524 to 776 of the family's 1533-position model. The record is from RNAcentral.